GAUUGAACGCUGGCGGCAUGCUUUACACAUGCAAGUCGAACGGCAGCACAGAGAAGCUUGCUUCUUGGGUGGCGAGUGGCGAACGGGUGAGUAAUAUAUCGGAACGUACCGAGUAAUGGGGGAUAACUAAUCGAAAGAUUAGCUAAUACCGCAUAUUCUCUGAGGAGGAAAGCAGGGGACCUUCGGGCCUUGCGUUAUUCGAGCGGCCGAUAUCUGAUUAGCUAGUUGGUGGGGUAAAGGCCUACCAAGGCGACGAUCAGUAGCGGGUCUGAGAGGAUGAUCCGCCACACUGGGACUGAGACACGGCCCAGACUCCUACGGGAGGCAGCAGUGGGGAAUUUUGGACAAUGGGCGCAAGCCUGAUCCAGCCAUGCCGCGUGUCUGAAGAAGGCCUUCGGGUUGUAAAGGACUUUUGUCAGGGAAGAAAAGGAUAGGGUUAAUACCCCUGUCUGAUGACGGUACCUGAAGAAUAAGCACCGGCUAACUACGUGCCAGCAGCCGCGGUAAUACGUAGGGUGCGAGCGUUAAUCGGAAUUACUGGGCGUAAAGCGAGCGCAGACGGUUACUUAAGCAGGAUGUGAAAUCCCCGGGCUCAACCUGGGAACCGCGUUCUGAACUGGGUGACUAGAGUGUGUCAGAGGGAGGUAGAAUUCCACGUGUAGCAGUGAAAUGCGUAGAGAUGUGGAGGAAUACCGAUGGCGAAGGCAGCCUCCUGGGAUAACACUGACGUUCAUGCUCGAAAGCGUGGGUAGCAAACAGGAUUAGAUACCCUGGUAGUCCACGCCCUAAACGAUGUCAAUUAGCUGUUGGGCAACUUGAUUGCUUAGUAGCGUAGCUAACGCGUGAAAUUGACCGCCUGGGGAGUACGGUCGCAAGAUUAAAACUCAA
RNAcentral lists this ribosomal RNA (888 nucleotides) under uncultured Neisseria sp. Its description in RNAcentral is "bacterial SSU rRNA". It matches the Rfam family "Bacterial small subunit ribosomal RNA", at positions 27 to 904 of the family's 1533-position model. Lineage: Bacteria; Pseudomonadati; Pseudomonadota; Betaproteobacteria; Neisseriales; Neisseriaceae. The record is from RNAcentral.